GCAGUCGACGAAGCCCUCUCCCGAAGAUUGACACAGCUUGCUGUAGAUUGAUUCAUUUGAGGUGACUGAGUGGCGGACGGGUGAGUAACGCGUGGGUAACCUGCCUCAUAGAGGGGGACAACAGUUGGAAACGACUGCUAAUACCGCAUAGUAAGAAAGAUUCGCAUGUUUCUUUCUUGAAAGAUUUAUCGCUAUGAGAUGGACCCGCGUCUGAUUAGCUAGUUGGUAAGGUAACGGCUUACCAAGGCGACGAUCAGUAGCCGGCUUGAGAGAGUGAACGGCCACAUUGGGACUGAGACACGGCCCAAACUCCUACGGGAGGCAGCAGUGGGGAAUAUUGCACAAUGGGGGAAACCCUGAUGCAGCGACGCCGCGUGAGUGAAGAAGUAUUUCGGUAUGUAAAGCUCUAUCAGCAGGGAAGAUAAUGACGGUACCUGACUAAGAAACCCCGGCUAACUACGUGCCAGCAGCCGCGGUAAUACGUAGGGGGCAAGCGUUAUCCGGAUUUACUGGAUGUAA
RNAcentral lists this ribosomal RNA (519 nucleotides) under uncultured bacterium. Its description in RNAcentral is "bacterial SSU rRNA". It matches the Rfam family "Bacterial small subunit ribosomal RNA", at positions 57 to 563 of the family's 1533-position model. The record is from RNAcentral.